CUAAUACAUGCAAGUCGAGCGGAUGACGGGAGCUUGCUCCUUGAUUCAGCGGCGGACGGGUGAGUAAUGCCUAGGAAUCUGCCUGGUAGUGGGGGACAACGUUUCGAAAGGAACGCUAAUACCGCAUACGUCCUACGGGAGAAAGCAGGGGACCUUCGGGCCUUGCGCUAUCAGAUGAGCCUAGGUCGGAUUAGCUAGUUGGUGGGGUAAUGGCUCACCAAGGCGACGAUCCGUAACUGGUCUGAGAGGAUGAUCAGUCACACUGGAACUGAGACACGGUCCAGACUCCUACGGGAGGCAGCAGUGGGGAAUAUUGGACAAUGGGCGAAAGCCUGAUCCAGCCAUGCCGCGUGUGUGAAGAAGGUCUUCGGAUUGUAAAGCACUUUAAGUUGGGAGGAAGGGCAGUAAGUUAAUACCUUGCUGUUUUGACGUUACCGACAGAAUAAGCACCGGCUAACUCUGUGCCAGCAGCCGCGGUAAUACAGAGGGUGCAAGCGUUAAUCGGAAUUACUGGGCGUAAAGCGCGCGUAGGUGGUUCGUUAAGUUGGAUGUGAAAGCCCCGGGCUCAACCUGGGAACUGCAUCCAAAACUGGCGAGCUAGAG
This 603-nucleotide ribosomal RNA is filed under the name Pseudomonas sp. CF12(2010). RNAcentral's name for it is "bacterial SSU rRNA". It matches the Rfam family "Bacterial small subunit ribosomal RNA", at positions 48 to 646 of the family's 1533-position model. Lineage: Bacteria; Pseudomonadati; Pseudomonadota; Gammaproteobacteria; Pseudomonadales; Pseudomonadaceae. The record is from RNAcentral.